UGCACCGUGCUGUCUGGACUGUCUUUAAGAGAACCAGCCAGGGAGGAGAGGACUUCUUAAGGGGUGAACCACUUAAGUUGAUUCUUAAAAGAAAGUGAGAAAUUAGGUAGGAAGUGCUAAGGACUGGGAAUUAGGGAAGAACCUUUAGAUGAGGAAACAAUUUAAUCAAAGGCCUGGAAGCCUGAGAGGGUAACUGCAAGCAGCUUGGAGAGCAUGUGUUUGGCAGGUGUGCUCAGCCUCCUCCUGUGAUGUAUCUGGAUUUCAUCCUCCAUGGUGAAAGGCAAAAGGCUGUUUAUCUCUUCUCUGGUCUGUGUAUGAAAGCUACAUGAAAAUGAGCAUUGAAAGGGUUAAGUGCACUCUUCAUGCAGAAAGACAAA
Molecule: long non-coding RNA, 377 nt
Filed under: Homo sapiens (human)
Lineage: Eukaryota; Metazoa; Chordata; Mammalia; Primates; Hominidae
Description: HSALNT0211460
Source: RNAcentral